CACACUGCCGAGAAAAGCCUCUAGAUAGAAAAUAGGUGCCCGUACCGCAAACCGACACAGGUAGUCAAGAUGAGAAUUCUAAGGUGAGCGAGCGAACUCUCGUUAAGGAACUCGGCAAAAUGACCCCGUAACUUCGGGAGAAGGGGUGCUCUUUAGGGUUAACGCCCAGAAGAGCCGCAGUGAAUAGGCCCAAGCGACUGUUUAUCAAAAACACAGGUCUCUGCUAAACCGUAAGGUGAUGUAUAGGGGCUGACGCCUGCCCGGUGCUGGAAGGUUAAGAGGAGUGGUUAGCUUCUGCGAAGCUACGAAUCGAAGCCCCAGUAAACGGCGGCCGUAACUAUAACGGUCCUAAGGUAGCGAAAUUCCUUGUCGGGUAAGUUCCGACCCGCACGAAAGGCGUAACGAUUUGGGCACUGUCUCAACGAGAGACUCGGUGAAAUCAUAGUACCUGUGAAGAUGCAGGUUACCCGCGACAGGACGGAAAGACCCCGUGGAGCUUUACUGUAGCCUGAUAUUGAAAUUCGGCACAGCUUGUACAGGAUAGGUAGGAGCCUUUGAAACGUGAGCGCUAGCUUACGUGGAGGCGCUGGUGGGAUACUACCCUAGCUGUGUUGGCUUUCUAACCCGCACCACUUAUCGUGGUGGGAGACAGUGUCAGGCGGGCAGUUUGACUGGGGCGGUCGC
RNAcentral lists this ribosomal RNA (684 nucleotides) under Staphylococcus aureus. RNAcentral describes it as "partial 23S ribosomal RNA". It matches the Rfam family "Bacterial large subunit ribosomal RNA", at positions 1601 to 2286 of the family's 2925-position model. Lineage: Bacteria; Bacillati; Bacillota; Bacilli; Caryophanales; Staphylococcaceae. The record is from RNAcentral.